UGCUAGUCGCACGGGUUUAGACCCGUGGCGGAUAGCUCAGUAACACGUGGUCAAACUACCCUGUCGAGCGCGAUAACCUCGGGAAACUGAGGCUAAUAGCGCAUACGGCUCGGUGCCUGGAACUGGCCCGAGCUCGAAAUGCUCCGGCGCGACAGGAUGUGGCUGCGGCCGAUUAGGUAGACGGUGGGGUAACGGCCCACCGUGCCCAUAAUCGGUACGGGUUGUGAGAGCAAGAGCCCGGAGACGGAAUCUGAGACAAGAUUCCGGGCCCUACGGGGCGCAGCAGGCGCGAAACCUUUACACUGCACGACAGUGCGAUAGGGGGACUCCAAGUGCGAGGGCAUAUAGUCCUCGCUUUUCACUACCGUAAGGUGGUAGUAGAAUAAGUGCUGGGCAAGACCGGUGCCAGCCGCCGCGGUAAUACCGGCAGCACGAGUGAUGACCGCUAUUAUUGGGCCUAAAGCGUCCGUAGCCGGCCGAACAAGUCCGUCGGGAAAUCCGCACGCCUAACGUGCGGGCGUCCGGCGGAAACUGUUCGGCUUGGGACCGGAAGGCUCGAGGGGUACGUCCGGGGUAGGAGUGAAAUCCCGUAAUCCUGGACGGACCACCGGUGGCGAAAGCGCCUCGAGAGGACGGAUCCGACGGUGGGGGACGAAAGCUAGGGUCACGAACCGGAUUAGAUACCCGGGUAGUCCUAGCUGUAAACGAUGUCUGCUAGGUGGUGGCGCUGGCUACGAGCCAGCGCUGUGCCGUAGGGAAGCCGUGAAGCAGACCGCCUGGGAAGUACGUCUGCAAGGAUGAAACUUAA
RNAcentral lists this ribosomal RNA (808 nucleotides) under uncultured euryarchaeote. RNAcentral's name for it is "bacterial SSU rRNA". It matches the Rfam family "Archaeal small subunit ribosomal RNA", at positions 52 to 859 of the family's 1478-position model. The record is from RNAcentral. Lineage: Archaea; Methanobacteriati; Methanobacteriota.